AGAGAGGUAGGGUUCCAAAAAUUCACUAUUCAUCAUCUUCUUGGAGCCAUAUCUCACUCUCCGAAGCUCCGAUUUGCGUGCCGUCAGUUUCCACGCGAAACUCUUGUCAAGCUCUUUGAUUUCAUCUGAAUAAAGUGGUACAAUCUAGCACCAGGUACUUAGUGGAUUUUGUCUUAAUCAGCUGUGGGUAAGCUUGGACUAUUGAUUGUUGAUGCUUGUUGGAGAUUGAUUGGUGGUUUGAUUGAGUUUGAGAACUUGUGGAAGCUUGGUUGAGGUCAAUUUGGUGAUUUAGCACAUAUUGGGAAUCGUCCAAGGUAUGGUUUCGGUUUUCUCUAUGUAAUAUACAAUAUUUCUGGAUACUUAGGCUAGUAGACCUUAGGAUAGGAUUGAAUUGGUUGGUAAUGAAUAUUGAUAUAUGAUGAUUUUGAUGAAGGUAUGAUUUUGAUGAAUGUUGAAGUUAAUUUAUGAUGUGAGAUUGAAAAUGAUGAAUUUGGAUAUUGAUAAUGAUUUAUGAAGUGUAUUGAUGUUGAUAAAUAAUGAGAAUAAUAAAAUGAUGCUUUGACUUGUAAUAAUUGAGAAUUGGAGGCUUGAAAGUGGGAAUUUUGGAUGGAAAUGGGUGAAAUUGUAUAUUAAUAGGUUGAGGAAUGAUUUGAGAGUAUAUGCAUAUGGUUUAGGUAUAUUAGGACUGUUUUGAAAGUGGAAUAAGCAA
Non-coding RNA from Arachis ipaensis, 709 nucleotides. The record is from RefSeq and is a predicted model, not a curated record. NCBI's taxonomy places the organism in Eukaryota, Viridiplantae, Streptophyta, Magnoliopsida, Fabales, Fabaceae.